Molecule: ribosomal RNA, 117 nt
Filed under: Opitutales bacterium
Lineage: Bacteria; Pseudomonadati; Verrucomicrobiota; Opitutia; Opitutales
Source: RNAcentral
CCUGGUGAUGAUAAGCUUAGGGGAAGCACACGUUCUCAUUCCGAACACGCUCGUUAAGCCCUAAGCUGCUGAUGGUAGUGCUGUGUACUGCAGUGUGAGAGUAGGUGAUUGCCAGGC